RNAcentral lists this unclassified non-coding RNA (241 nucleotides) under rhizosphere metagenome. Its description in RNAcentral is "partial ribosomal RNA internal transcribed spacer region". The record is from RNAcentral.
GUAGGUGAACCUGCGGAAGGAUCAUUACUGAGAUGGGGUUCUUUUGAGCCCGACCUCCAACCCUUUGUCUACAAAACCACUGUUGCCUCGGCGGGCCGCCAGCGUCUCUUUUGGCGCUGCCGUCGGCUUUGCGCUUUCGAGUGCCCGCCGCAGGACCCUUCAACUCUUUUAUAAAACAGUAUUAUCUGAGUGGGAAUUAAUGCUUCAAUUAAAACUUUCAACAACGGAUCUCUUGGUUCUG